CUCUUUAUGACGCGUUUCAAUGGAGGCUGUUGUAGCUGAAACUUGUUCACAUAUAUCUAAUCUGAUCUCUAAAUUUCAUUUCUUUUCACUCUAUCCUCUGAACAAACACAAGCCCAUGUUCUCUCAUGUCUUAUUCUUCUUCCUCUUCUUCUUUGUCUUCUCUGUAUCCUGCUUUAUCUCUCUCUUUUUCCUUUAUAAGAAUUUCAGCAGGCCAAAGCGAGAGGAACAGAACCAGAACGGUGAAACUUCAGUUAUAAACUGUUCUUUGUCCAAAAUAAUCGAUGAAACUCACAAAACCCGUGAAAAUGACUCGAUCCAUUUGACUCAUUCGCUUCUUCUGGACAUCUUACCGUCCGAUUCUCCUAAAUGGGCCACUCUGUUUGGCAAUCAGCCUGAUGAAACGAGUUCGGGUCAUGACAAUGAUAGAGACGGGUCUGUAGGGGAUUCCCAGAAAGUGAAAAAGAAGAAAAAGAGGACGAAGAAGAAGAGAUUGGAUUCCAAGAGUGGAGAAAAUGGGGUUGAAGAUAAGGGCUUAGAGAGACAAAGAGAAGGUUUGGAUUCGGGGUUGCGGCAGGUCAAGCCGGAGUUAGUUUGCUUGUACCCUUUUACCUCAACGAGUAGUGCCACGCAAAGGAAGAUCAAGCAGCAGUAUGAUCAGCU
This 660-nucleotide unclassified non-coding RNA is filed under the name Hevea brasiliensis (rubber tree). The record is from RNAcentral. Lineage: Eukaryota; Viridiplantae; Streptophyta; Magnoliopsida; Malpighiales; Euphorbiaceae.